This is a non-coding RNA of Arachis ipaensis, 649 nucleotides long. NCBI's taxonomy places the organism in Eukaryota, Viridiplantae, Streptophyta, Magnoliopsida, Fabales, Fabaceae. The record is from RefSeq and is a predicted model, not a curated record.
UCAGAGAAUGGGAAGGAGAGGAGAGGGGAAGGGAGAGGCGCUACCGGUGGUGACCACAGCCACCGUCUCUACUGACCUUGAGGGGAAAACGAGAGUGAGAGAGAGACACGCACAGAACGCGCAAUGCGAGAAAGAGAAGGAGCUCGUCUUUGUUGCCGCCUUCGUCGCGCCUUGCCGCUGCUGCCGUUGAUGGAAGCUGCCGCUGUCACUGGAAGGAACCAAACAGGGAGAGGAUAUCACUAUUGAUGCUGCCGCAGAGAGGAAAGAAGGGACGCGUGUGAGAAAGUGAUGCAACAGUGGAGGAGCCGUUCCUCUGCCGCCGCCACCGAAAUUCCUGGUUGCCGCCGUUGUUCAUGAAGAAAAUUGAGAAUCAAGGAAAGCAUCUUUAUUCAGUAGUAUAUGGCUCGCUGCCACCAAAAACUCAAACAAGGGAGAGCUGGUAGAUAUGGGUCAAAUUUUCCUGUUGGAGAAGUAACAUGCAUAGAUGCAGGGGAUCUACUCUUGCUUCAUUCAUCUUUAAACUCCCCAUCACCCACUUUAAAGGUAACUUGAAUUCGAUCACCCUAUAUGUAUGUGUUCCUAGACCAAAAAAGUUGAUGAAGAAGAAAAAAUGAACAAGAAGGCUCACUUUAAGUAUGAAUCAGUUUAU